Molecule: long non-coding RNA, 1135 nt
Organism: Felis catus (domestic cat)
Lineage: Eukaryota; Metazoa; Chordata; Mammalia; Carnivora; Felidae
Exons: 5
Source: RefSeq, a predicted model, not a curated record
UCGGAGCAGACGCUCGGGGCAGGCGUCAGGCUUUAUGCUUCGAACGUGCCAGACGUAGACUGCUUUCCAGCUGAGAGCAGGGGUGAGCGUGGGGGAGACGGCAGGUUUGUGGAGGACGGCGUCGUGUGGUUGGGCAGGGAUGCGGUUCGGUUCCCAGACCUGGGUCUGCCUCGGAAUAACCUGACGGGAUUUUCCAGAAACUGAGUCUCUCACUCGAGAGUCAGGCAGUUGGAGAGAUUAAAUCCAGACCGCACCAGAUACUGACUACGUGACCUUGGACAAGGUACUUAAUGUUUCUGAGUGUUUACUGCAAAGCAGAGAUCAUAAUGACCUCAUAGAAUUGUCACGAGGGUUCCAUGAGCUAAUGUAAGUGAAUCGCUGCGCGCAGUGCUUGGCACAUUGUUUUGGCGGUAAAUAGCAGGUAUUGCUUACUUUUCAUUAGAAAGACGUGCGCAGUGUGGAAUAAGUAAUGACAUAGAGAUCAGCAAGAAUCAGGCAAAAAAUAAGGUCAUUCUAGUUCCCCAAAAUAACUACUGAUAAUGUUCUGGUGUACGUCCUUCCAGAUUUUGAUCUCUCUGUGUGCUUUUUUUUUUUUUUUUCUAACACACUACCUACAAUUGGGUUGCCCUGUCAUCUUAUUCCACCCCAAGGAAUCAACUCUGAAUUGGAUCAAGGUGGGAGUUGCAUCAUUAGCGAACGCGGACAUUUAUAAAUGGAGAGCCGUCAAUUCUAAAGGACCUUUUUGCGCGUGCAAGUUUGCAUUUCUGCACCAACCCGGAUUCUGGCACACCGUAGGCACGCGAUACAUUUCAGUGAAGAAGAAAAACAAAAACAAAGGGAAGGUGCCGGGCCACAGUUUGCAAGACUUCCAUUUUGUCAUGGCUGUAAGAAAGAGGAGGAAGAGAUAACCAUGAGAACAGAACUGAUAUUAGGAAUUUGGCCCCAGGGAAGAAGUUUCCAGGGAAAGGCGUAGAGUCCACAUUUUGAAAAUGGAGUCUCUUCUGCAUGGUAAAAGCACCAGUUAGGGAGAGAGAAAAUGCUGACUUCUCCCAGCCUGCAGCCGCCGGGAGGAGGGACUUUUAGAGCCAAAGGGACUUUUAGCUGAGUAAUAAAGCAAUAUCCCUCGCGAACACCA